CCAGGGCUGAGGCUAUGGUGUGCUCAUUUGCAGGUUCAUAUCGCCCUCUGGUGGGCAAGAAGUGAAACAUUCCAGCACAGAAUUAAAUAAGAACCUGGAGGUGAGCCACCUCUGUGUCCACAGGGUUCUGUGCCCUCUGCUCUCUACACUGAUGUUCUGCAGCUCCAUGAAGACAGGUAACAUCAGAGACCAGAAUCUCUUGAACAUCUUCAACUGCAUGCUGUGGCUGGAAGAAAUUUUAUACGUCAACACUUGUGAGGUGGCACUUGUCACUUUCUCUUCUCAGCUGAGAGGAAGACAGCAGGAUGGUCAUAUCCCUCACAUAGGUUGACCUGCAGGCCACCUCCCUAUCUGUGCAUCUGUGCUGUCUUAGGAGGGCAGGCCCUGGGCACCAUUACCCCUCACAGAGUGAGGCUUCCAUGAUGGAUCCUUGUGCCUACUCCACAGACACCCAGGGCUGUAACUCUACUCUAUUUUGUCCAACUGUAGAAGACAUCUGAUUUUCCUGGGCUCACAAGGAGGCUCCUCCCUCCCUCACUCUCCCUACCCAGCAGUCACCAAGGAACAAGUGGGGAUAUUGUGAUGACCCAGACAACUCUCUCUGUGCCCAUCAACCCUGGGCAGCCAGCCUCCAUCUCCUGCAGGUCCAGUCAGAGCCUCCUACACAGAAAUGGAACUAGCAGAAAUACGGUGAGGAUGCAGUUUCCACCCUCCCUGCCUGACACCCUUGACUCCCUGCCUUCAUCUUGGGAGGGAUCAGAGUUGAAAAAGUCACUCAUAUGUCACCAAGAGGGUGGAAGUUUUUGCUGUGGUGAUGAACGUGAUUCCUGGAUGAUAGAUCUCCUGGUGAAUAAUGGAAAAAGUCAUUCCUCUGGCUGUGGGAAUGGAAACCAAUGAUUCUGCCCAGGAGGCACCUGCUCCACCACUGACCAACAUCCCCCAACAUGCUCAAGACCAACCCUGAGCCAAGGCCACACAGGAAGCCACAGCCUGAUUCCUCACUCACAGAAAGGCAGAGUGGUGGGGAGGGUAAUAUGCUAAUAGCUUAGCUUCUGGGUUGGGGCAAUAUUUUACACAAAAUAAUCCAAUGUAUGUAGACAAACAGUAAUAAGUUAAAAAAAGUGAUGGCAAAGCUGUAUUGUCUGUUGUUCACACAAAGUAAUGUUGUUUCACUGGGUUACGAAAACAUGCAUGUACCUGACAUAAUGUUAGCAUCACAGAAAGAAGGUCUAGAGAAGUGUUGAGUAGUUCCUGAAUUGUCCAUGAAGUGUAAGAGUGCUAAUGAGCUGACUUAUCUCUGUAAAAAUAAAGAGUGUCUUCUGUUUUUCUCUUUCAUGGUUUUCCUUGUU
Molecule: long non-coding RNA, 1349 nt
Filed under: Ictidomys tridecemlineatus (thirteen-lined ground squirrel)
Lineage: Eukaryota; Metazoa; Chordata; Mammalia; Rodentia; Sciuridae
Description: lncRNA (ENSSTOG00000033954.1)
Source: RNAcentral